This is a non-coding RNA of Phrynosoma platyrhinos (Desert horned lizard), 75 nucleotides long. The record is from the annotation of a GenBank genome assembly. NCBI's taxonomy places the organism in Eukaryota, Metazoa, Chordata, Lepidosauria, Squamata, Phrynosomatidae.
UAGUCAACAUGGUGCAAUGGUUUGAAUUUCAGACUACAACUCUGGAUAUCAGGGUUUGAUUCCCUGCUUGACUAG